RNAcentral lists this long non-coding RNA (330 nucleotides) under Phoenix dactylifera (date palm). RNAcentral describes it as "long non-coding RNA (PDAC_LNC011200)". The record is from RNAcentral. Lineage: Eukaryota; Viridiplantae; Streptophyta; Magnoliopsida; Arecales; Arecaceae.
AAUUCCUCACACUCCCCUGGUAGGAAGACGGAAAUUCCACACGACUAGGGUUUCUAGUGGGUACUGCGGUCCCACCGAUUUACAUGCCACCUCACCUAACAGUUAUUGGUGACACAUAGAUUGAUGAAUGUACAACUCUUGUACAAUGCUUCUCAAGCAUGUUGCAGUGUAACUUGGUCUCUAAGCCAUAAAAACCUCACCUAAUAGUUAUUGGUCCCAUUUCUUAGUUAAGUCAGAUCCACCGUAUAACCAUAGGAAUAAAGUCGUCAUUGGGUCCUCACCUAACAGUUAUUGGUGCCCAACCCCACCUUUACCCUACAACAUCUCAUG